AAGAACUUAAUUUAUUAAAAAUAUUAUGUUGUCAACAUUCUUAAGCUCUUUACUAAACAAGUAAAUG
This 67-nucleotide transfer RNA is filed under the name Pediculus schaeffi. Its description in RNAcentral is "tRNA-Asp". Lineage: Eukaryota; Metazoa; Arthropoda; Insecta; Psocodea; Pediculidae. The record is from RNAcentral.